UCAAAUCCUUUCAGGAUGUAUCCUUUCUGUUAGUGUACAAAGAGAAACUUUCUAGUUCAUUUACUUUUCAUGCAAGAAAUCAAGAAAAUCACUAAACAUUUUUAUCCUACCUCUGAAGUGAAUAUUAGAAAAAAGGAAGUGCUACAGUUCUUACCAAGGAUACACAUCUUGGAUGCAGUUAUUGGAAACUUUUAAAAUUUUGGUGGUAUCUUAUUGUCCCCUUUUUUCCCUGUCAUCUACAGUAGUAGGAGGCGAUUUUGCAAGCAUAUUAGUUCCAAUGUUAUGUGUGUGUCCUUUUAGUGUGCAGGUUUUUCUUUAGGAUGUGUUUGGUGAGGCCAUCACUCUCAGCAUCAAGUUCCAAAUGAGCAUGUUUCACAUGCUGUAUUUAGUCACCAGCAUCUCAUCAAGGAGCAAGGGGAAUCUCUGAGAACAAUCAUAGCUUAAAGCAAAGCAUACGUGCCAUGCAAAUAAAAUGUAUAUUUUAUAUAUGGUUUCCAUAAUACCAAGAAAAGAACUGAAGUUCAUAAGAUAUAACAGUGUGCACCUGGCUGGAAAAAAAAAAAAAAAAAAAAAGCCUUAGUGACAAGAAAAGUAUCAUGAUCAAUUUUAAAAAGAACAGACAACAAAAGUGGUUAUGCUAAGCAGAGACUUAGGAGAAGAUGGCGGUGAAAUUCAAUAAGAAUGAGAAUAGGAAAGAAUUUAAAAUAAGAAUAAAAAUGUAAUGAAGGAAAUAAAGCAAGAAAUGAUUGAAAAUAUCUUGGAAAAUCAGAUAUAUUAUGAAAAGAGAAAUAAUUUGGCAAAUCCAAAGAAAUAACAGACCAAAAAAAAAAAAAAGUCACAAAUAAAACCAUGGAGAUACUUCUGUCCAGAAUUUCUAAUUUUGGAAAGCUAAAGCUUUUGGGGUUUCGGGGAUGUAAAUAUUGCCCAUCAGUUUCCUUACCUGCUCUAGCUCAAAAAGGCUUCUGCUCCUUGCUCCCCCAUACCUCCCAGAGAAUGCUGAGUGAACUUUAAAAGUUGUAGAGGAAAUGCACUCUCAGUAUUAGUUUGUGUACUCAGAGACAUGAAUCUAUAUAAUUUUGAAAUUGCCUGAUAAACCCUGUGGUCCAUGGAGACUAAUCUGUAGUCUGGACCCCAAUUAUGGAAUUUUGUACUCAGUGGUCUUGUACUGGGCAUGAUUCCAAGUCACUGAGGCCUUUUCCUACAAUCUUUUGGAGCAUAAGAGACAUGGCUUGGUUUCAAAAUCUGUGACUUCUUCCGAGAACUUCCUAAAAAUAUCAUUCCAUCUGAUCCUGCCCCAGCACUUCUGGAAUCAUCAGUCCCUUAAAUUUUCAAACAGCACUUCUCCCUCUCUAUGAUUAUUUCCAAAGCACCCAUUUGAAUGAGGCAGUGCUCCUGUGGACCUUUACUCUAUAGUCUUCCUGAUGAGAGCUUUGAAAACAUUGAAACCAAUCAUUAUCUUC
This 1460-nucleotide long non-coding RNA is filed under the name Marmota monax (woodchuck). Lineage: Eukaryota; Metazoa; Chordata; Mammalia; Rodentia; Sciuridae. The record is from RNAcentral.